RNAcentral lists this ribosomal RNA (497 nucleotides) under uncultured bacterium. RNAcentral's name for it is "partial 16S ribosomal RNA". It matches the Rfam family "Bacterial small subunit ribosomal RNA", at positions 28 to 507 of the family's 1533-position model. The record is from RNAcentral.
GAUGAACGCUGGCGGCGUGCCUAAUACGUGCAAGUCGAGCGAACAGACGAGGAGCUUGCUCCUCUGACGUUAGCGGCGGACGGGUGAGUAACACGUGGAUAACCUACCUAUAAGACUGGGAUAACUUCGGGAAACCGGAGCUAAUACCGGAUAAUAUAUUGAACCGCAUGGUUCAAUAGUGAAAGACGGUUUUGCUGUCACUUAUAGAUGGAUCCGCGCCGCAUUAGCUAGUUGGUAAGGUAACGGCUUACCAAGGCGACGAUGCGUAGCCGACCUGAGUGGGUGAUCGGCCACACUGGAACUGAGACACGGUCCAGACUCCUACGGGAGGCAGCAGUAGGGAAUCUUCCGCAAUGGGCGAAAGCCUGACGGAGCAACGCCGCGUGAGUGAUGAAGGUCUUCGGAUCGUAAAACUCUGUUAUUAGGGAAGAACAAAUGUGUAAGUAACUAUGCACGUCUUGACGGUACCUAAUCAGAAAGCCACGGCUAACUACGUG